UAUGUAGGGGGCUAGCGUUAUCCGGAAUUACUGGGCGUAAAGGGUGCGUAGGUGGUUUCUUAAGUCAGAGGUGAAAGGCUACGGCUCAACCGUAGUAAGCCUUUGAAACUGGGGAACUUGAGUGCAGGAGAGGAGAGUGGAAUUCCUAGUGUAGCGGUGAAAUGCGUAGAUAUUAGGAGGAACACCAGUUGCGAAGGCGGCUCUCUGGACUGUAACUGACACUGAGGCACGAAAGCGUGGGGAGCAAACAGG
This 252-nucleotide ribosomal RNA is filed under the name uncultured bacterium. Its description in RNAcentral is "partial 16S ribosomal RNA". It matches the Rfam family "Bacterial small subunit ribosomal RNA", at positions 524 to 776 of the family's 1533-position model. The record is from RNAcentral.